GUAGGUGAACCUGCGGAAGGAUCAUUAAUGAAUUUAGAUUGAACCAUAGGCGAAAGCCAGUGGUUCUUCUUUCAUAUCCAUAACACCUGUGCACUGUUGGAUGCUUGCAUCCACUUUUAAACUAAACAUUAUUGUAACAAAUGUAGUCUUAUUAUAACAUAAUAAAACUUUCAACAACGGAUCUCUUGGCUCUC
Molecule: unclassified non-coding RNA, 194 nt
Filed under: rhizosphere metagenome
Description: partial ribosomal RNA internal transcribed spacer region
Source: RNAcentral